RNAcentral lists this non-coding RNA (156 nucleotides) under Bathycoccus prasinos. The record is from RNAcentral. Lineage: Eukaryota; Viridiplantae; Chlorophyta; Mamiellophyceae; Mamiellales; Bathycoccaceae.
AUUGUCGUUUAAAUCUGGGAUGAUUAAGAAAGUCGCAGAAGCGAGAGCAGCUGGGGUGAACCAAGUCGUCGUGUUUCCGAAAACGCCGGAUGAUUUGAAGACGGCGUGCGGGAAGGAGGCGUUUAAUCCGCAAGGUUUGGCACAACGAUCAAUCUC